CUAUCACUAACUAUACUUACUGUCCAAUGAACCCAACCAAUAAACAAUAUCUGUUCAACAUUACAACUACUAAUAAAGCUGGGAAUGGAUCUACUAGUAAUACAACUGUCGGAUUUCAAUCAAGUUCACAAAUUUCAAUCAUUUAUCAAGAUUUUUAUACAUAUCACAUGAACAAUUAUUGGCACCUUCAUUUCCUUUUAUUAGUAAGUUAGCCUAACGUACAACACCCACACAAGUUUGUUUACAUUUACAGGCUCAUCAGUUGUGUACUGGAGUGCCACUUGUUGAUAUUACAUUGUGUACUGUUAAUGAUUCUUGUUAUUCAUCAACAAGUAUAUCCAUUAAUCAUAGUACUUAUAAUAACAUUUUACUUGUUGCUAUUAUAAAUCUUCCGUCAAGAGAGAUACUGAAUACUAGUAUUAUCUUGUACUAUCAAAAUGAAGUAAAGUUUGAAAGCAACACUAUAACAAUCAGUACUUAUAAUCUUCAGCACAUAAUGUUG
Molecule: long non-coding RNA, 502 nt
Organism: Amphimedon queenslandica
Lineage: Eukaryota; Metazoa; Porifera; Demospongiae; Haplosclerida; Niphatidae
Exons: 3
Source: RefSeq, a predicted model, not a curated record